GAGGAGGUUCAAUACUAUUUUAAGUUUUUCUAUACUAAUUUUGAUAUUUUUAUCUUUUUAUAUUGAUAUUUAAAAAAAAUCUAAAUUUGGUUGUGAGAUUUUCAAAAAAUUAUAGCACAAAAGAAAUAGAGCUAUGAAGAAAGAAAUUCAAGCAAAUUUUUAAGAAGAAAGUUGUUGGAGUUUUCAAAUUAUAAAUUUUUAGAUUGAUUUGAGAUUUUCCUUGCCAUUUAUUGGAUUUUUUUCUUUUUUUAAUUCUCAAUAAGUUAAAUUUUGUUUAAAUUGAAUUAA
RNAcentral lists this long non-coding RNA (288 nucleotides) under Physcomitrium patens. RNAcentral's name for it is "long non-coding RNA (PPAT_LNC000573)". The record is from RNAcentral. Lineage: Eukaryota; Viridiplantae; Streptophyta; Bryopsida; Funariales; Funariaceae.